ACAUGCGUUUUCUUAGUAGAGAGGACCUCCAAGAUGGUGGAACUGCAUUUGUGGAAUCAUCCUAAUGAUUAGUGCUAAUUAGACUUGUGAUUUCACCAUGAUAUCAGAGAUCUAAGUAAGCAAAAUUUCUUUGUAAAAAUAAUCAUUUGUUUGUCUAUAGUCAAUAUGUUUCUAAUAGAAGCUGUCAGGAUUGUUCAGGUCUGUUCUGAAUGCAGGCUGUUUCCUUCCACAUAUGAUAAUAAUCUCAGAUGCCCCCACGGAGUAAAGAAAAUUCUCUUCCACCACUGCACAUUCAUGAAAAUCAUGUCCUAUGAGAGUCGACUAAAGAAGUUAGAAAGAAAAUGUCCAGAGCAAAAGAUAAACAUGAUGGACAUAGUAGAGACAUAAAAGCCUGGAUCCACGUGCAGAUCUUCCUUCUCAGAGCUGGGCAAUGUGUGCUCUGGACUUACUCUGUUACCGUUAAGAACCCCGAGCAACGGUGAGAAUACAGAGGAUUCUUCAAACAAGCCAGGAAUUUUUGACCUUGCAGUGAGAAUACAGAGGAUUCUUCAAACAAGGCAGGAAUGCCCAUUCAACUUUCCCCAGUGGCUCUGCAUAAGAGGAACCAACAGAGAUCAUUUCCUGAGACCUAAGGAGGCAAAAGCUAGGUGGCAACCAAAGAUUUCAGAGGAGGAAGCAGGUAAGGUGCAGAGCUGCCAGGUGAUUUCUCCCAUUGACUAUUUGUCUUUUUCCUUUCUUACUAUCUUCUUUGUUUGCUUAUUUUAGUAGUUGCUUCAGGAUAUAUAGUAGUAUAUAUCACAGGCACCCUUCAAGUGAUAUAUUGCCCCUUCAUAUAGUACAAAAUCCUCACAACAAUAUACUUCCAUUUCUUUUCUCCUGGCCUUUAGUCCUCACUGUCUUCUGUUUUCAUCCACAUCUUCUUCCUGACUGUUGACUCUAUUGAACACAGUGGCCCCAAGUCUGUCACCACAUGCUGGGCUGUGAGAUGUUGGUGCCCUCCAGCCAAAGGCCUCCAAGAGCUCACCUGCACUUAAGUAAGUUGGGUUUCUCGUUUGUCACCGUGAGGGAGUAUACACACGCCAUGGAGAAUUGCCAGGUGUCCCAGUAAAGGGUGUCAGAAAGAACCUAUUAUAGGAUGUGGGCUUUGCUUGGUGGUUUUGAAAGGAUUUAGUGAAAUAGGGAAUUGGUCUCUGUUGGCUACAGUCAAGAAGGGAAGGUCAUUCUAUGAUUGGUACCUCAAUAAAUCUUACCUAUGGGAGGGCAUUCUAGAUGCUAAAGCAGUAAUUAAUAAUAAUAAAAAAAGCAGCCACUCAUAUUACCUGAGGAAGAGAGAUUUUUGUAUUUUGCAGCUCAGAUGAUAUGCAUGUUUUGUCUCUAUUUAGGCAUGAUUCUGGAAUGGUCUGUUUGCUAUCUUUGUUGUCGUUGUGUCUUGAUCUAUCAUAGUCACAGAGUGAUCUUGUCUCAUAUUAAUGUUCUGUGAAAUCAUUUAUGUUCAACAGGAAAGCACCGAGGCACAGCCGUGAGUGCCACACCAGCUCAUAAAAACACCAAGAUCUGCCUGAUAAUGCCAGGGCAUGCCUGGGUGUCAGGCGCUGCUCUGCUUUUCUGGGGAAUCGCAGAGUUCUGGUAUGAACUUCUCCACCAGCCCCCGAGCAGCCUAGCCUCAGCAGCAGAUGUGCUUGGCUGCUCAGGUUGACUGAUGGGAAUCUCCUCCUAUGUUCUUGUUUCCCUUUAGACCUUCAUUUCUCCAGCUUCUCCCCUAAUUGUGCCAAUCUGAUUUCUAUAAUGAAUCCCUCAUCCCAUUACUCAUAGUGGUACUGCUCCCCUAGUUAAACACUAACUGAUACCAGGACUCAAAUAAGAGACACAAAUUAAGUUAUAUUUAAAAAGCAAAUAGAUCCCUGGGUCCCCUUCUUCACAUCUGCACAUUGAGAAGCUGUCCUUCUCAAUCACAGCAGAAUGAUGGAGGUUCAUGCUCUUGAAAAGGCAAAACAGAGGGUCUUUGGAAUCUCAGAGAUAUUUGAGGGAAGAACAACUUUCUAGAAACAGGGGAAUUAUUUUAAAAUAUGUUAAUUGAAUGCUGAGGUCACUAGUCCCCUUUCUCUACUUUCCAAAUUUUACACCCACACAAGUGCACCUGCUGGGUGGCAGGUGGGGGUGGCGACUCUAAACUCUGACCAAAGGUUGACAACAGGGGAUCAACGUUUGAGGCUUAAAAUGACCACAAAUGAUGAAAAUCAUUAUGUCCAUGUGAUGAAUUGAUUCCACAAUCACUAAGAAUUUGUCUUCUUUAUUCCUGGAUAGAAUUGUAUUACCUUUAUUCAGAGAAUAGAAGUACUAUUAUUGUCUCUGAAAUUACUUUGGCUGAAAUAAAUACAGCCACUCCAGCUAUAUUUUCAUUUGCAUUAUCAUGGUAUACUUUUCCCUGUGGAUUUUCAUGGAAAAUUUGAUUUAAUUUUUUUGCAAGUAGCAUAUCAUUGAGUCUUACUUUUUAAUUCGACUAUUUUUUCCUUUAAUUUCAGUGUUUCGACUGCUUACAUUUAAUAUAAUUAUUGAUAUAGUUAUCUUUGUCUGUCAUAUUUAUUUUCCAUUUUUCCCAUCUACUGUUUGUCUUUUUCCUCCUUUACUACCUUCUGUGUUUGCUUAUUUUAGUAUCUGCUUUAGGAUAUAUAGUAGUAUACAUCACAGACACACUUCAAGUUAUAUAUUGCCCCUUCAUAUAGUACAAAAACCUCCCAACAGUGUUAUUUAUUUUCUCCUGGCCUUUAUUCCAUUGUUGUUAUACACUUUAACUUUACCUACCUUAUAAACUCUGUGCUAUAAUUUAUUGCUUUAUUUCUAAACAAUCCAUUAUUCGAAGGAGAGAUAUAAAUAACAUUUUAAAAUAAUUUUACAUAUUUGUACAUGUGGUUACCAUUUCUAGUGCUUUCAAUUGAUUUGGUUGAUACAUCCACCUGAUAUCAUUUUAUUUUUGCCAGAAGAAGUUUUAUUAACAUUUCUUGAACCCAACUGAGUCGGAGACCAGAGUGGCUCUGUCUGUCACACUUGGAGAAACUAUUAAGGGCUAUUCAUACCUGCUCACUUCCUCAACUGCUCUGUAAAUUGAAUAACCAAGCCAGAGAGUCAGAGACCAGUUGUCAUGUCAGGAUUACUUGUAUCUCUCUUCUUUAUAAUGAGUGGGAAUUUGGGACUAAUUCGCUUUAACACUUGGUGUGUUUUACACAUUGAAAAAUCACAGGAAAAUGCUUUUCUAAAAUAUUUAAACUUUAUGAACACUGAUUUCUAAAUAAAAAAUACCUGGAACUUUUUCUUUAAAUUAUUUCUUAUAUUUUAUGUAGUGGCUUGAAAUAGAUCAAAGGAAGGAUGCUAGAUGUAGAUAUUUUAUAAAUUUUAACAGUACAGGAAAUUGGACUCUUUAUUUCCAUUUGAAUCCAUAUUUUGUGAAAACCCUCCACCUAGAAAGACCUCCCCAGUUUCAUCUGUCCCUCUGUCUUGGCCAACUUGUUCCUUCUCUGUCCCUUCCCCUGCCUUGAGCUCCGAGGUGCUUCCUGGACUGGCUGGGCCCCUUGCUCCUCACUGCACAUCUUAAUAUUUCUCUUCCUCCUUGUGCUCUCUCCAACCACUGCAGCAAAUAGUGUCUAUGCUGCCUCUAUUUUGCAUUCUAUUCAGCUUAGCUUCUAUUUAUUUGCUACUUGAACUACUCACUAAUUGUGCAUAAAGUGUACACUUUGCAACUCAAUAGGCUAUCAAUGGCUGUGUUCCCCCGCCGUGCCCCAGCACCCACCUGGUGAGGAGGAGGAAGGGAAGAUAAGGAGCUAACCCAGUGGGAGUUUCUGCAAGGAGCAGGCAUCUGGCAAAGGUGUAUCUUUCACCUGAAGUUCCCGGGGAAAGUUCAAAGCAGGAGUAAACAGAGAAUGGAGCACCAGGUGGGAAGCCGAGCUCAGUAAGGUACAGAAAGAAGCCUGAUUGCCAACGGAAGGGUCAAGGGCAGGGAUGGACGCUUAUGUGCAGAACCAGCACCUGGAGGUCAUGAGAUCAAGACCUGGGUGACGAAAUGUGAUGCAGGUUGAGCCCUCAGGCUGUCACACCUGAUAUUUGGCUUUAAAAAGUCUAUGUGGGUGUGGGUGUUAAUUACCUCAUUAGUGUCCUGUGACUGCUAUAUUAAUCACCACAAAUGUGGUUACUGAAUUCAACGUAAAUAUAUAUACUCUCACAGGUAUGGAGACCAGAAGUCUGCAGUUAAGGUAUGGGCAGGUCUGUUUCUUCUAGGGACUCUGAAGGAGAAUCUACUCCAUGCCUCCUUGCAACCCGUGGCACUCUUUGGCUUACAGAAGCAUCACUCCAAAUUCUGCCUCCAUCUUCCCAUGGCCUUCUUCUCCAGAUUUAGGCCUGUCCUAAUCCUGGACAAUCAUAUCUUGAGAUCCUUAAAAGUGCAUCUGCAAAGAACCUUUUUUCCAAAGUCGUCUUCUCAGGGUUAGAACUUGGACAUAUCUUUUUUGGGGGUACCAUCAUUCAACUCAAAACCAUUAUACAAUUUGAGACAGUGUUCUAAACAUGUAUGAAUGCACUUAAUUCCUAUACCAAUUCCACAUUAAAGUAUGUGUCAGUAUUAUGACCACUUUACAAACCAGGAAUCUGAGGUGAGGAAGGAAUAAGUAAUCUUUCCAAACCCCCAUAGCUGUCAGUGUCAGGGCUGCACCUGAACCCAGGUAGGCAAAUCCCACAGUUCACAUGCUUUAUCACUGUGCUUUAGAAAUGGCUGAGCCUCUGUUUCUUCACCUGUGAAAUGGAGACAGUGACAGUACACAUUUAAUAGGGUUUCUGUGAGAUUACGUGUGCCCCAGCAUGGACAGCCACUACAGAUUUAACUACUGAUACUAACACGAGAGUGAAGCAGCUGGGGCAGGUCCUGCAAAAUUCCAGCAACAUUUGACUUUGACGGGCUCACAGGUAUGGUGCAGAGGAGAGCUGGCUGUGCUGAAGGGGCCAGACACAGGGGCCACUGGAAUAGAAGCUUCUCAAAGGUGGCGAAGAUGCUUUUUAUGCUUGUUGCCACCACCCAGAAUGAUGUUAACCAUGAGGUAUGUGCUCAGUGAAAGGGUGUGGAGUGAAUGAAUGAGUGACAGUACAUUUUUUGGAAGCAGGCACUAUAAUAAUCAUUUCUUCUGUACCUCCUUUUCCUAACUGAUCUCUGCCUCUCCAAGGCUAAGAAUAGUGCUAGUCAUAGAUAGUAAUUUAUUUAUGCGGUCCUUGACCUCUCCAUCAUCUCUUAGCCUUAGAUGGAAAAUCUUACAAGAGAAUGAAGCUCCUGGAGAAGAAAUGGUGAGAGAAGACCUCCAGGAUCUUCAGAAAUGUUGAGACACAGGGAUGUGGUGAAAAGAACAUGGGGGAAGAGCAUGGGCAUGGUGGUGGGGGUCAGAGCAGGACUUGGUGAACACAACUCAUGGAGUGCUUGAUCUGUUGAUCUGUGCCAGGCAGUGGGCUAGAUUGUAAAAAUAAGACCAAUGAUAAAAAUUGAUAUAUAUAUAGAGAGAGAGAGAGACAAUGACUGAUAUAUAAUCAAUACAUGAUGGAUAGAUAAAUAGACAUAAGUAGAUAGAUAGCUUUAAUUCUUACUGUGCCACUUAAUAUCUAUAGAAACUUGCAUGAGUUAUAAUAACAAUUUAAGCCUCCAUUUCUAGAUAAAAUUAAGUUACUUAAAUGCUUAACUCGUAGGGUUUCUGUGAUAACUAAAUAAUAAAUCUUGCAUAUAUAUGCAUGUGUAUGUCGGUGUGAGUACGAAUAUAUAUACAGAGAGAGAAACAGACAGAGACAAGGACAAAGAGACAGAGAAGAGAGAGCCAGAGAGAUUGGAGGGCACACAGGUGAGCUUGGUACCAAAUAGAUCAUUUUGCCUUCCUUUUCUUCUCAGCUCCUGAAAUACUCUGUUUCUGAAAUACAAUGCAGUGAUAACUACUGUUUAUCCUUUUUUAUUUUUUUUGUCAUGUAAGUCCAAGAUUCCUUUAUAGAAAACUCUCAACCUAUGGCAUCAAUUUUGGACCAAGACGUGGCCAUCUGCCUUCCUAAAUGCCCCUAAAUGACAGCUGAGCUCUUCAAUAGCCUUCAUUGCUCCUGAUCUUUCACCCCUGCAGGGAAGCGUCUGGCAGCACACUCAAUGUCCAAUGCCCACUGGGCUGACCCAGAAGCAAAUUUUGUGUCAGCUCCUCCAGCCCACCAUGGAUCAUCCUGGGAGCUGUCUUCAGAUGGUAAUUAUUCUCAGCUGAAGCCAUGGCCCCAUUAAAGACAGAACACUGGAGAUGAAAAGUCCCAGAUUCCAUUAGCAGUCUCUACUUCAGACAUGAACUCUGGGACUUGAUGCCUCUGAUGUGUCUCUUCAUGUUGCUUCCACAGGCUUAAUGAUGCCUUUAGCAUCUCUCACCUGAAGGUCAACAUUGAAAUGAGAACUAUUUUGACUGAUCUGCUCGGAAUAAAAUGAGAAAAACAGUUCAUGCUGAACUACACAUAUGUGGAGGCGAUGAACAUAUGUUUCUAAUUUUGAGCUGAGAGAAAAGCAAAAAUAAACAAAUUUAACAAAUCUUAGUUCUUGACAACCACUCACAGAAUAGUUCAGCUAAGAAAUAAACAUUUGGUUCAGGGAAUAAAGAAACUGCCUGGCUCGGUGUGGAAAUGACACUUCUAGACUCAGAGUUUCAUGACUACAGUGAGCUCAUUUCUUCUGUAAUUAGGGUCAAGACUUGAACUUUUCCUGUGGAUUUUCCCAUCAGAAGACUGGUGCCAUUUAUCCAUGUAGGUGAGCACUAUAAGGACAUUGCUUCAUAUCACGCUUCAAGAGUGAUGAGUUUCACAAGGAGAUUGCAUGUCUCCUCAGAGCCGGCCCGUCUGUAUGUGAUCAGGUGGGAGAAUUUGCUUCAGUAAGUGGAGUGUGAUGGGACAGGGGUGUUAAGUGCCCCCUGAGGAAGUGUUGGCUCUAAGAAGAGAAGAAGUUUGGCCACGAUGAUGCUUGGCCUCUUUUCCAGCCAUGUCUCAGUCAACCCUAGCUGCUGGGAAAAGUACCACCGACUGGUAAACAGCAAACAUUUAUUUCUCGCAGUUCCGGAGACUGGAAGUCUGAGAUCAGAGUGCCAGCGUGGUCAGCUUCUGGUGAAGACCCUCUUGUGCCCCACAUGGCAGAGAGAAAGUGAGCUGACUCCAUGUCCUCUUUUCGUAAGGGCACUCAUCCACUCAUGAGGCUCCACUCUCAUGACCUAAUUACCUCCCAAAGGCCCCACCUCCAAGUAUUAUCACAUGGGGGAUUCGAUUUCAACAUAUGAGUUUUGGGGGACACAAACUUUCAGUCUGCAACGAGACAGGAUUGUCUUACUAUGAUCAGACUGUGGGUGAUUUACUUCGUUUCUUGACACAUCUGUUUUUAUUCUUAAGCCUGUAUACAUAGAUAGUACUUACUGUUUUACAAGAAUCCAGUUUUUCCUUGCAUGGUAAUUUAUUUUAAAAAACACUGUUUUAAGGUUUCUGUGAUGAGCUAAAGGCAUCUAACUGAAUCCAGAAUAUACUGUCAACUUUAGUGUCUCAGGUCGUGUGUUGUGAAGGAAAAGGUGCCACAUGCUUGACACCUUGACGUUUGAGGUCUUGGUGCAACCUCAAACUCAACAUGUGAAUCCCAAGGGAGUAUCUUCCUCUCCAAAGGCCUCUGCUUCCCCAUCUUUUUUUUUUUUUUUUCUGAGACAGAGUCUCGCUGUGUCACCCAGGCUGGAGUGCAGUGGCGCAAUCUCAUCCUGCUGCAACCUCCAUCUCCCAGGUUCAAGUGAUUCUCCUGCCUCAGCCUCCUGAGUAGAUGGGGUUACAGGUGCGUGCCACUAUGCCCAGCUAAUUUUUGUAUUUUUAGUAGACACGGGGUUUCACCAUGUUAGUCAGGCUGGUCUCGAACUCCUGACCUUGUGAUCCACCUGCCUUGGCCUCCCAAAGUGCUGGGAUUACAGGCGUGAACCACUGUGCCCAGACUUCCCUAUCUUUAAAUGAGCCGAUUGAGGAUGAUCCCUGGGAUUUAUCCAAACCUACACGUUUUGGGGGUUGAUGAGAGUGAGGGUGGAAUGUCUGUCCCUCCUGGACAGAAUCCUAACAACUCUUCAGCAAAUCAGUGAACUUGAAUCCAUGCAGAGGCCUGUUUCUAGGGAGAAUGCCUCGGCCAGCUGACCACAGGGAUCACAGCCCUUAGACUUCCUCAGAUGUGAGGGAGGGGUUCAGUGAUCCUGCCUGUCAGCUCCCAGGUUCACAAGUACAGCCACAAUAUAGAUAAUCAACUGCUUGUCUUCUCAGCCCUGGGAAAAGUGUGCGUGUCUCUUUACAGCAAGUUGUAUCAGCAAGACUGCCGUAUCAGGGGUUGCGCAAUCCUCAAUUUAACAUGAGGAAGAAUUUACUCUCUGUCAGAGUUGCACAUUCUGCUCCAAGAAGCCGCUCACCGUGGGUUCCAGCACAGGCCAGAUGAGGAAGAGAAGCUUCCCACUCUGAGGGGUGAAGUCCCGAGUCCUGUGGUGCCCACAGAGAGGUACUUAGGCCAGCAGCAUGGGCAUCAUGAGGGUGCUUGGUGGAAAUCCCCACACUUAGGCCAACACAGUCAGCCUCUGUGUUGUAUGAGGUCCCCUGUGCACAGUGGAGCGUGAUAAUUGCUGGGGAAUGAGGAGGAGCCUCAUGGUCACUGCCACCAAUGUCAUCUGUUGCCCAGGAGCUGAGGCAGGAGGGAAGACCUGGAGCUGAGACCUCCAGAGGCUGCUCCACAGAGGGGACGGGGAUGAUAGCUUUCUUUCAUGCUCCAUUUUCACCCCAACUGGGCUCUUGCUCAGUGUCCCACCCUGUGGUGCUGCCUCAACCUGACCAAACUGCCUCAGGUGCUGCCUCAGCACCUGACGGGCUCCCCAGAGUCACAGUUCACCCAGAUGCAGCCACUUUCCUCCUGUACCACCUUCCCUCUGAGGCCAUCUCCAUGGUUCCCAUCACAAGGGCCUGGCACACUCUCUCUGCCUCUCUAUUCUAGUGCCCCACUCCUCUGAGACCCAGGACAUUUCAUGAAUCCCCCUCGUCCUGUCUGCAGCUGCACGGGGACCCCUGCCUGAGGUUUGCCAUUGUCCUGGGCCACUCAUGGGCUGUGGAUGUGGAUUCUCCACUUCUAGGUCCUAGAUCAUAAAGGGGCCUCCAGUGCAUCCUCCCAGGGGGCUAAGACAUAGCAGACAGGGUCCCCCAAGUUCACUUUGUGGUCCUAGAUACAGGAUGUGUAGCAGGUGGGAGGAACAACUGAGACAAGGCCAGAGGGCAGUGACUUCUGCCAGGGACUGGGUCUGGCUCUUCCCCAGGUGCAUCACACAUGGACUGCCUUCCUUGAAGACACUGAUAUCAUAACAAGAGCAUGGAUGAGGCCAACCUCAUUCACAUAUCCACUGUGUCAUAUCUUCGUGAAUAACUGUCUAAGCAGGGUAAGUGAAGGAGUUACUUUACAGAGAGAUUGCUGCCUAAAAGGUCUUUGAUUCUCCAUUAAGUUUUCAGUCCUUCAAGUGAAUAGUGGCCUAUUAGGAGACUUUGCUGAUGGGGUUCAUUUCCGACACUGCAGUGGGCACCUGUUUUCUCAGAGUCCAGGUUUGAGUGUGCAGGUGUGUGUGUGCCUGUGGCCCUGGGGGAGGCUGGGGGUACACUGACGCAGAUGCUGGACACAGGGGAUCCCCCUCAUGGUUUGGACAAGCCUGGAGACUCAUUAUAAAGCAGUACAAGUGAUCUACUUUCCCAGAGUGGGGAUCUUUCUCUUUCUUCCUGUACCCCCACAAGGUAGUUAGGAAGGACCCACCUCCCACCAUGCCCUCAGAUUGAAAAAGUCUCAGUUCUCUGUGGCUGAGUCACAUUCUGACUUGCACAGCAGUUUUAAAGUCAUCACAAUGACCCUACUGGCUGAAAGUUAUUAUCAAAAUUCCAAGUCAUACUUAGUUAACAACUAAGUAAUUUUCAGUAUGCAAUCUACAGGCUUGUCAUUAUUCCUGUAGGUGCUGUCUCCUGAGGCUGUUUAAAUUUCUGGUAGUUUCUGGUAAUUUCAAAAUCUCAGGAGCCAUUUGUUUUCACAGAGAUUCAGUUGACUUUUUAAUUAUAGUUUAAAGCAAAGCUGUGGUUAAAAAGUAAGUUAUACGUAAUAGAAACAUGAGAACUAAUACAGAGAAUUAUCUACUAAUGCAUCGGUAAUAUUGAUCCAGUUUGAUAUCUGACAGCUGAGGGGUCUUGUUUAUCUGGCUCGGAAAAACUAAUUCCACUGUAAAUACACAGUGGGAUAUGUGAGACAUUGUUGUAACUCCCACUUCCUUUUCAAAUUGAGAAAAAAAAAUAAGUGUGAACUUUGGCCUAUGUGGCAUUCUAUAAGCACAUUUUCUGACAUAAAACAUAGCACAAAGUUUGGCUUUUUGGCUUUUAGCAAUGUGGAGUUUUUAUUGUCUUAAAUCCCACUCACUAGCGAACUUGGCAAUAAUUUCAGUCUUGCCAUGGGCCAUCAACUGAGUACCUGAGGAGGCUCUUUCUCAAGAAAUCCCACGUGAGCUUUGUGAGUCUCAUGUCUACUCCAACUCCUUUUUCCCCUUUGCCUUAAGUUUUCCUGAGUGCUCCCACUUAGUUCAGCUGAAUUACUGUUCACAAUUCACUUGCACAAAGUCACCAUAGCUCAUAUUAGUGAGAGCGACCUUCCAACCCAUCAUUCCAGCCCUGCAGUGCAGCUCCUACUCAAAGGGCUGGGACAAGCUUCCUUGGAGAAAUUCUAACGCAACCCUGGAGACGAACGUCAUGGGAAUCUCAGUAGGAAGGAACACUUGUACAGAACUGUCAUUUAAAAGGAAUGAGUUUCACCAUUGUGUUUUUCAUGCAAUCCCACCACUGAAACUACUGACAUGAUGGGUCACAGUUGGCUCACGUUGCUUUCACGGAAGUGAGGGUGGAACCUGCAACAGUUCAGUAAACUGUGUUUGUUAGCACUGGUGAAUCUACACGCGUCUACAGCAACCUCAAUUCUCGCCUCCUCAGAAGAAAGAAUUUGACCAAGGAACGUAAGGUAGAGGGAGAGACUGAAGCAAGUUUUAAAGCAGGAGUGAAAGUUUAUUAAAAGGUUUUAGAGCAGGAACAAAAGGAAGUAAGGUACACUUGGAAGAGGGCCAAGUGGGCAACUUGAGAGAUCCAAGUACAUAGGUUGCUUUGACUUGGGGUUUUAUACAUUGGCAUCCUUCCGGGGUCUUGUGUCCAUUCUCCCCUGAUUCUUUCAUCGCAGUGGGCUGUCGGUAUGUGCAGUGACCUGCCAGCACUUGGGAGGGGCCGCAUGCGCAGUGUGAUUACUGGAGUUGUGAACAUACUCACUUGAGGCAUUUUCCCUUGCCAGCUGAAUGUUCCUAGAGGAAGAUCAUAUAGCAGUCAGAUGCCACCAUUUUUGCCUCUCAGUGUGUAUACUUGAGCCCACUCGUCCAACUCCUGAGAUAUUAUUAGGAAGCUGCUGAUCACCAGUUUCAGGCUUUUCUAUCUGUUAGGAAACUGCCUCUCCCUGGUGCCAACUACAACCAAUUAUUAUUUUAAAGAGACAGUUUAACAACCACCUGACCAUCACUGGAUGGUCUCCUGACAAUACUGUUGUGGGGCCCUCUUCUGCCCUGCUCAUGUUUGCCUAAUUACCUACUGUAACACAUUCUGAAGCUUCCUAGGUGGGAGGACAUUUCCUACCUGCUUCCCCUAAAUAAGCUACUGCUGGAAAGAUGCAAGAUACUCCGAAAAUAACAAGGCUUGGUAGUUAACUAGUAGCCCGUUGAGAUUUUCUCAUUACAUGGUGGAACCAAUCAUUGUGUAAUUGAGGCACAAGAUCACCUUUCAGCCAUCACAGGAGCAUACACGCCCCACCAUGUGGCAAUGGCACAGAUCUCUGAGCCCUCCUGUACUGUAAAAUUAAGCUUAUGUUUGUAAGAACUACUGGAGGUUCUAAAUGUAGACACUAACUUGCGCCCCUUCCACAUCUUGUGUUCAACGUUCAUUCUUAUUUUGUCUGUACAUGAUCUAAAGUGUAAACUGGACCACUAACAUCUACUUUGAAUGACGUUGUUUCAAAAGUAGGCAAGGUUCUGAAAAAUCUUUUCUGAUUAAAAUAAAAAUGAAUAAGAGGACUUGAUGUGCAAUGUCCAAGACAAAUAAAACUAUGUGAUAAAAUUUGUAUGAAAAUA
Long non-coding RNA from Pan troglodytes (chimpanzee), 12215 nucleotides. RefSeq lists it as uncharacterized. The record is from RefSeq and is a predicted model, not a curated record. The transcript has 3 exons. NCBI's taxonomy places the organism in Eukaryota, Metazoa, Chordata, Mammalia, Primates, Hominidae.